ACCUUCGGCAAAGAAACACAAAUUUCCAUUAGAACACAGACACCACUCUAGUGGACAUGCAGGAAUGUAAAAAAAAGUGGAAAUAACUGUAGCCCCCUUCAUUUGCAAUUCAGAUAUUCAACCUACCCAGGGCCUUCCUUUCAAACAAAGUUGUUUUGCACAUCAGGAUUCACAGUUUGGGGGAGCUAUGCUGUGAGCUGUGAGAUAAGAAUCACACACAGCGUUCAGCCCCAGUCUGCCCUUUAUCCAGCUCUGCUCAGAAACCUAGAGGGAAGUAUGAGCAAUCAGUCUUGCCAACGCAAAUCAGAUGGUUUGGUUCAGAUAAAGCUUUUACAGGAAACACUUGUGUGAAAUGAAGAAUGUGAAGCUCUAAAACCCCCCAGAAACAUUACCAGUAGCCCGUGGAUUAUGACAUAUUUGGAUAUUUGAUUCCAGGGCUGUAUAACACAGUCUAGUCCAGAAAUGAGAGAUAAGCCAGGGCAGCAGGAAGCACGACCAGGAGAACAGGGCUCAGACCUGCAACUGCGAAGAGCACGAGGAAAUGCCCCAAAUCCCAGUCUCAGUGCCCUGCACAAUAACUUCGGUCUUUUCAUAGGUUAUGACAACUCCCGCUCUCCGGGGGUGCUACAAAGGUCAGGUCUAACAGUCAGAGAGAUGCUGAGUAAUGGAACAUUAAGUUUUUAAAUGAAACAUACUGGUUAUUCUAAAUACUCAGUGAAAUUACUCUGACAAUGACUCUGCAGCUGGCACUGGCAGCCAGACUGCCCAUUUGGAAACAGAACAAAAACUAGAUUCACUACAAAGUUUACAUUCUUAUAUGAACCUCUAAACUUAAUUAGUUUUGUGGCUCCUAAGGUGCUGAAUUGAGAUAUUACAAGGAAUUAGAGAGAUGUGAAACUAAGCUUUGCUGGUUUCCCAGUGAGCAUCAAUCAGUGCACCAGGGUUGGAUGUGUCAGAACGAAAUCUGGAGAGAACUACAGAGCUAGAAAGAUUUCCCCCCUGGUAGCUAAAAUCUUUUCAUCUGGGCUCUGCCCCGAAUUCUGCUGAUGUGUUUUAGGCAAGCAGCAUUAAACUUUUAAAUUCUGGA
Molecule: long non-coding RNA, 1087 nt
Organism: Parus major (Great Tit)
Lineage: Eukaryota; Metazoa; Chordata; Aves; Passeriformes; Paridae
Exons: 2
Source: RefSeq, a predicted model, not a curated record